GUUCACUCCAUGUGUGAGUUUGACAGAUGGGUCAGUGAGAAAAUCCGCUUAGCAACUUUCUGCUGAUGGAGGUUCACUGAAUAAAGCUCACACACUUUCUCAUUACUAGCUUCGAGUCACCGCACUGAGGCCUCGCUUGCUUUUAUUCAACUUUAUCGGAUACACUUUCAAGAUAAAGGACAUGUCUGCCGAAAAGAUUCCUGUACAUAAUAGCCUAAAUAUCUUUCAUGUAUAACAUCUUCCACAUCAGACAGAUUGAAGCCCAAAAAGAAGAAGCCCGAGUCGACUCCAGCAGAGACCAACGGGACCGAAGCCAAACCCAAAAAGACCAAGAGCAAGAAGAGCGGCGAUAGCUACCCGGCCACUCAGAAUGGAGAGAAGGUGAAGAAGAAGAAACUGGAGAAGGACAAAGAAUCAACAGAGAAGGAGAAGGAAAUCAAAAAGAAAGCGAAAAGUGCUCCAAAGAAGAAGAAGAGUAAGUGACCCAGUUUUUUUUGUGUCAUUUAUAUGAUUUAUAUUAUUAUAUUAAAU
Molecule: long non-coding RNA, 531 nt
Filed under: Sinocyclocheilus grahami
Lineage: Eukaryota; Metazoa; Chordata; Actinopteri; Cypriniformes; Cyprinidae
Description: lncRNA (ENSSGRG00000024376.1)
Source: RNAcentral